Molecule: ribosomal RNA, 252 nt
Filed under: uncultured bacterium
Lineage: Bacteria
Description: partial 16S ribosomal RNA
Rfam family: Bacterial small subunit ribosomal RNA
Source: RNAcentral
UACGUAGGGGGCUAGCGUUAUCCGGAAUUACUGGGCGUAAAGGGUGCGUAGGUGGUUUCUUAAGUCAGAGGUGAAAGGCUACGGCUCAACCGUAGUAAGCCUUUGAAACUGGGAAACUUGAGUGCAGGAGAGGAGAGUGGAAUUCCUAGUGUAGCGGUGAAAUGCGUAGAUAUUAGGAGGAACACCAGUUGCGAAGGCGGCUUACUGGACUGUAACUGACGUUGAGGCUCGAAAGCGUGGGGAGCAAACAGG